CGACUUCCACAGUACUCACGUGUUCUUUUUCCGUUCAUCUUAUGUUUUUUUCUUCUCUUUUCAAGUUCUCUUCAAAUUUUUCAAUUUCUCUGCACAAAAGUUUGCUUAAUUAACUGUUUACUUGAUAGAGUUAUGUUUUUCGAGUAGAUUUCUAUCUCUUAAUCUGUAUGAGGGCUUCAACGAAGGAGACAUGUUUAAGGCGAAACUUGGAGCUCUUCACCACACAAUGGGACGAAUUACAGGAAGCUCAAUUUUUCAAGGAUACAAAUGCUCAUCCUAUGGUGAAGUUUCAAUUUUGGGCAAGGUAAUAUUUUACGAUUCUUCUUAUUCUCAUAGGUUUUCUGAUAUAGUUCAUAUUUGCCGUUUAGCUUCUCUCGCGCUUUGGCUUUUACUUAAGUAUUUGUCAGUAGAGAAACCUCCAAAACCAGCUAACCUUCCUUGGGAUGAAUCACAAAAUAUUGGGCAAGGUUAUGAUCAUGUCGUACUGAUACUUAAAUAUUUGAUAAUUUUACUCACACUUGUAUAUAGUAGAAUGUAGGAUUAAUAUAAACAGUGGUUGUUAAUUCUCAAAAAGAGAUAUGUGAUUGCACAUGUAAAGCAACAUGCUCCAAGAUUUCGAGGAUAUUGGCUCCCUCUUCCUCUUCACUAGGCAGUUUGAGUGCCUUUAUAUUAUAUUUUCAAGUAAAUUGGAAUGAUUUAGGUUGAAGAGAAUCUUCUUUGCAGCUAAUUGUUAGUGGUAUUUAAGAAAUUACAAUUUCAGAUGUUUUCCUUAUGUAUGUCGUUAUUCCACUUCAAUAAGUCAUGGGCAUGGUGACUAUCCAAAAUUGUAGUGGCCAUUAAAUUUUUUUUAUUUGUUGAUCUAUAUGUUGAUUGCCAAUCGAACUUUUGUAUUUUCUUUGUUAGUCCCAAACUGCUCAUAAACAUGGUUUAGUCUAUUGGGUAACAUUUUACCUCUAUUUUCCCAUCAUGUAACUGCCACGAGCAACGGAGCAUUACUCCGACUUCAACUCUUUGAAAACAUGACUUCAGUGAAGAGUGAUGGAAAUCGAAAGAGGAACUUGAAGUCUAAAAACUUCCCUCCAGACUGCCUCAUCUACCAAACAAGUAGGACGUAGAUAUAUAUGAGUUCAGUUGAUCAAGAUUAUGAGUCUACUUAAAGGAUAAGCUUGAAAGCAAGAAGGAAGUAAUUAAUUUGACACUUGCAAGUUAAAUGCAGCCAAUGCUACCAGAUAUUUAAAGUUAGAUCAACGACUUCUUUUUAGAUUCUGAGAUGAGUAUUUAGAAAAACAAUGAAGUUGUUGUUCUACCAACUUUAAUAUAUUUUCAAGUGUGUGCCUACUAUCACUACAUUAGCUACUGAUCUUUAUCGCUCUAUCCUACUGUGAUUAUUGUUAGUGUUCAA
Molecule: long non-coding RNA, 1402 nt
Organism: Solanum pennellii
Lineage: Eukaryota; Viridiplantae; Streptophyta; Magnoliopsida; Solanales; Solanaceae
Exons: 2
Source: RefSeq, a predicted model, not a curated record